GUAUUGACUGCCGAAGACAGUAGGUGCCGCAAGGCUUAAGGUGUUAACGCCUACCGAGGAACAUACAACUCAUAAUGAGAAUUGUAGACCUCUCUGUCUUUUUGCAGAGAGGUUUUUUU
RNAcentral lists this small RNA (119 nucleotides) under uncultured Lachnoclostridium sp. Its description in RNAcentral is "Ribosomal protein L10 leader". It matches the Rfam family "Ribosomal protein L10 leader", at positions 17 to 130 of the family's 138-position model. Rfam says of the family: This family is a putative r-protein leader autoregulatory structure found in B. subtilis and other low-GC Gram-positive bacteria. It is located in the 5' untranslated regions of mRNAs encoding ribosomal proteins L10 and L12 (rplJ-rplL). Lineage: Bacteria; Bacillati; Bacillota; Clostridia; Lachnospirales; Lachnospiraceae. The record is from RNAcentral.